Molecule: ribosomal RNA, 375 nt
Filed under: uncultured Glomeromycotina
Lineage: Eukaryota; Fungi; Glomeromycota
Description: LSU rRNA
Source: RNAcentral
UUGAAAGGGAAACGAUUGAAGUCAGUCGUACCGACGAGAAAUCAGCUCUUUGAGUGUGGACCUGUGGGCGUGCGUGAGCUUUACGGUCUCGCUGUUUGCAAUGUUUGUUCUUUUUGGGUGUACUUUUUCGUAUGGUAGGCCAACAUCAGUUUCGAAUACCAUAAAAUGACCGGCGGAAUGUAGCUUCGAUCUCGUAUUGAAGCGUUAUAGCCUUCGGUAGAUGUGACGAUCGGGAUCGAGGAUUGCAACGAAUACCCUUUGGGCUAUCCGCCUGACCUCUGAAAGUCGCUUGGGUACCGAAAGCUUGCUUAUGGUCAUUCAAGUUGGCGGUCAAAAGGUUAGAACGUGAUUAAAUUCGUUAAGGAUGUUGACGUA